This is a long non-coding RNA of Triticum dicoccoides, 820 nucleotides long. RefSeq lists it as uncharacterized. Lineage: Eukaryota; Viridiplantae; Streptophyta; Magnoliopsida; Poales; Poaceae. The record is from RefSeq and is a predicted model, not a curated record. The transcript is spliced from 2 exons.
CACCCGCGCCGCCGCACCACCUUCCUCCCUGCACCGCUGGACCAUCCCAAAUCGACCAACCGCCCCGACUCACCCUGGCGGCCGUCUCCCCCACUGCCCCACGGAGCCCUCCCUAGCGCCACCGCACACCCGGCCACGAGCCAUCCGAGAAGCAAACCUCCCCAGCUCCCGCGCAUCCAUCCUCGCGUCACCCCGCGCGCUCCACAUGGUCGGCCACCUCUGACGCUGCGGCACCGUCACCGGCGUCCCGCUAAGCCCCGACCACCGCCUCCACCGCGGCCGAAAGAAUUGGCAGCCCCGUCCAUGCCUCGAUUCGAAGGAGGCGAGGCCGAUGGUGCCGGCGGAGGCUGCUCCAGCAUGGAAAAUAGCAGAGACAGCGACGUGCACGGAGACCCCUCCCUCUACUCCCUUCCCCAACCGCCAUCUAUGGAGGUGCUGUAAUGGCGCUUCCGGCAAGCUCAUUCUCUAGUGGAACAGCUCGCCCCACCCUCUGCUCUCCUCUGCAUGGUUCCAGGGUAGCGCGAAGAUCCUUUCAUCCGGGAGGCAGAGGGGCUCCGGGCCGCCACUGCCGACCACACGCGGCCACCACCUCCACGAAGGGUGCUCCGGGCCACCACCACCGGCGCCGCGCCCUUGCCUUCCCCACUGGAUGCAGCCUCGCCAUCGGGCUAGGCCACAGGCAUAGAGAAGGAAGGAGAAGUUCUCCUAUCCGGCGCCGCUCCCAACCAGUACCGAUCUGGUUCCCCUCCCCCUCGACGAGCUCCUCCCUGUCUGCUACUGCUUCUGGUUGCAGCUCCAUUGAAUAUGUUUUGAAGCUCAC